GGGGCCGCGACCUGCCAGGGCCAGAGCUGAGCUCUAGCCCUGCCGAGGACGCACCCGAGCCGGUAACGAAUGCGGCAGAACUCCUGAGACUCAGACAUGGAAGACAGAAGACCUCAUCUGGAGGCCACACCCAGGAAUCCCCCUACCAACCACAGAGGUCCUAUAGAUGGAGAAGUACCACCAAGAGCUAGAAAUCAAGCCAAUAACCCAGCAGCCACCAACCAUGCUGGAAGGCAUCCUAGGGCCAGCAACCAUGCUGCUCCUUUCCGACAGAGGGAGGAGAGAUUUAGGGCUAUGGGCAGGAACCCACAUCAGGGAAGAAGAAACCAUGAAGGGCAUACCAGUGAUGAAGCUAGAGACCAGAGACAAAGC
RNAcentral lists this long non-coding RNA (372 nucleotides) under Rattus norvegicus (Norway rat). RNAcentral's name for it is "long non-coding RNA NONRATT019985". The record is from RNAcentral. Lineage: Eukaryota; Metazoa; Chordata; Mammalia; Rodentia; Muridae.